GGCUCAGGAUGAACGCUAGCUACAGGCUUAACACAUGCAAGUCGAGGGGUCUUGUGGGGCUUGCUCCACGAGACGACCGGCGCACGGGUGAGUAACGCGUAUCCAACCUGCCCUUCAUAUUGGGAUAGCCUUCCGAAAGGGAGAUUAAUACCGAAUAACAUGAUAAAGUUGCAUGAUCUUUUCAUGAAAGCUCCGGCGAUGAAGGAUGGGGAUGCGUUCCAUUAGGUAGUAGGCGGGGUAACGGCCCACCUAGCCGACGAUGGAUAGGGGUUCUGAGAGGAAGGUCCCCCACACUGGAACUGAGACACGGUCCAGACUCCUACGGGAGGCAGCAGUGAGGAAUAUUGGUCAAUGGUCAGACGACUGAACCAGCCAUGCCGCGUGAAGGUGACGGCCCUAUGGGUCUUAAACUUCUUUUGCGAGGGAGCAAUAAGGGUCACGUGUGGCCUGAUGAGAGUACCUCGCGAAUAAGCAUCGGCUAACUCCGUG
Molecule: ribosomal RNA, 489 nt
Filed under: uncultured bacterium
Lineage: Bacteria
Description: bacterial SSU rRNA
Rfam family: Bacterial small subunit ribosomal RNA
Source: RNAcentral